AGAGUUUGAUCCUGGCUCAGGACGAACGCUGGCGGCGUGCCUAAUACAUGCAAGUCGAGCGGAUUUCAUGAGGAGCUUGCUCCUCAUGAGGUCAGCGGCGGACGGGUGAGUAACACGUGGGUAACCUGCCCACAAGAUCGGGAUAACAUCCGGAAACGGAUGCUAAUACCGGAUACACAAUUUCUUCGCAUGGAGGGAUU
This 200-nucleotide ribosomal RNA is filed under the name uncultured bacterium. RNAcentral describes it as "partial 16S ribosomal RNA". It matches the Rfam family "Bacterial small subunit ribosomal RNA", at positions 8 to 200 of the family's 1533-position model. The record is from RNAcentral.